UAACCUACGGGGCGCAGCAGAGAGGAAUAUUGGUCAAUGGGCGGAAGCCUGAACCAGCCAAGUCGCGUGAGGGAAUAAGGCCCUACGGGUCAUAAACCUCUUUUGCCGGGGAGCAAGGGCGGGGACGUGUCCCGGCCCGGAGAGUACCCGGAGAAAAAGCAUCGGCUAACUCCGUGCCAGCAGCCGCGGUAAUACGGAGGAUGCGAGCGUUAUCCGGAGUUAUUGGGUUUAAAGGGUGAGUAGGCGGGCUUUUAAGUCAGCGGGAAAAAUUCGGGGCGCAAC
Molecule: ribosomal RNA, 282 nt
Filed under: uncultured bacterium
Lineage: Bacteria
Description: partial 16S ribosomal RNA
Rfam family: Bacterial small subunit ribosomal RNA
Source: RNAcentral